This 530-nucleotide ribosomal RNA is filed under the name Hemistomia winstonefi. RNAcentral's name for it is "partial 16S ribosomal RNA". It matches the Rfam family "Bacterial large subunit ribosomal RNA", at positions 1817 to 2619 of the family's 2925-position model. The record is from RNAcentral. Lineage: Eukaryota; Metazoa; Mollusca; Gastropoda; Littorinimorpha; Tateidae.
GGCUCUUUGGUUAGUUCAUAUAAAGAGUCAAGCCUGCCCAGUGAUAUAUAUUUAACGGCCGCGGUACUCUGACCGUGCAAAGGUAGCAUAAUCAUUUGCCUUAUAAUUGAAGGCUAGUAUGAAUGGUUUGACGAAAACAAAACUGUCUCUUUUUAAUUUUCUAGAACUUGAUUUUUAGGUGAAGAAGCCCAAAUAUAAUUGAAAGACAAGAAGACCCUAUCGAGCUUUAAAAAAUUUUAUUAAAAUAAAGUAGUUAUAAAAACUAAUUAUAAUAAAAAAUUUUAGUUGGGGCGACUAAGGAACAAAAAAGCUUCCAGCUUUAUAUUAAUAACAUAUAAGUUUUGAUCCAAAAUUUUUGAUUAAAAGAAUUAGUUACCGUAGGGAUAACAGCAUAAUCUUUUUUGAGAGCUCUUAUCGAAAAAAAGGUUUGUGACCUCGAUGUUGGACUAGAAUAUCCUAAAUGGCGCAGAAGUCUUUGAGGGUUGGUCUGUUCGACCACUAAUAUUCUACGUGAUCUGAGUUCAGACCGG